RNAcentral lists this ribosomal RNA (414 nucleotides) under uncultured delta proteobacterium. Its description in RNAcentral is "bacterial SSU rRNA". It matches the Rfam family "Bacterial small subunit ribosomal RNA", at positions 9 to 412 of the family's 1533-position model. Lineage: Bacteria; Deltaproteobacteria. The record is from RNAcentral.
GAGUUUGAUCCUGCUCAGAGCGAACGCUGGCGGCGUGCCUAACACAUGCAAGUCGAACGUGAACGGGGGCAACCCCAAGUAAAGUGGCGUACGGGUGAGUAAUACGUAGGUAAUCUACCCCAGAGUCUGGAAUAACCGGCCGAAAGGCUGGCUAAUACUGGAUAGAGCGACGGGACCCGUAAUCGGGUCUUUCGGGAAAGGGAGCUGGCAACAGCCUUUGCUUUGGGAUGAGCCUACGCCCCAUCAGGUAGUUGGCGAGGUAACGGCUCACCAAGCCUAUGACGGGUAGCUGGUCUGAGAGGAUGAUCAGCCACACUGGAACUGAACACGGUCCAGACUCCUACGGGAGGCAGCAGUGGGGAAUCUUGCGCAAUGGGCGAAAGCCUGACGCAGCCACGCCGCGUGAGUGAAGAA